Molecule: non-coding RNA, 85 nt
Filed under: Nocardia sp.
Lineage: Bacteria; Bacillati; Actinomycetota; Actinomycetes; Mycobacteriales; Nocardiaceae
Also listed under: 1 other name
Description: ZTP sequence
Rfam family: ZMP/ZTP riboswitch aptamer (pfl RNA motif)
About the family: Previously known as pfl RNA. ZMP is also known as AICAR.
Source: RNAcentral
GGCUGAGGCCGUGACUGGCGCACAUCAAGGUGGGUCACCACCGGGGAGCGGCCGUGCCGACCUGCCGCGCGCCUGGGCGAAUCCG